RNAcentral lists this long non-coding RNA (806 nucleotides) under Homo sapiens (human). Its description in RNAcentral is "long intergenic non-protein coding RNA 2693". Lineage: Eukaryota; Metazoa; Chordata; Mammalia; Primates; Hominidae. The record is from RNAcentral.
GUCAUAGAAACCACUCCCUGGGGCUUGGCAAAGCAGGAGCCCUCCGUGGCAGGGCUUCGGUGUCGGGGCUCCGAGGCUCCGGCCUGACUUCUCCACGGGGUCCACAGGAGCGUCUCCGGAUGCCAGGACCUGAAAUGGGCCGACCAGGAUGAGGAAACCACAGGCAGAGGCCGGGGAAGCAGCGCGGCAUCCCAUCCUCAGGCCUGCCCGGACGGUGUUCGGAAUCAUCUCCCCUGCCCCACAAACAUGAAAGAAAAGACAAGAGAAGCACCCCAGAAGAGGAGGGGAGAAGUGCCCCAGAAAAAAUCAUCCAGUCUCUGAAGCUUUGCCCAGGGCACCACUCGCCCCUGAUCCAUCUUGGUUUCCCGCACAAGGCAGCAGGAUUGCCCAUGAAUGAACAUGGGUGAAAUCGUUGGAUACAGAUUUGAUGUUUUGCCAUUUUAAAGAAUACUAGACAAGAGGAUCUCAAUCUGGAUCACUAUAUUGGGCUCCUAAUAUCCUGAUAUAAUUUUAAAUCAUCCCAAACAACGCAUUAUUACCAUAUACAUCAGCAUUUCCCAAACUGUGCUAUAAGCUAUGUAUACUAUUGAUAUUUUUGAGCUAAAAUAUACUUAUAAAUACAUAAAAAUAUAUUUAUCUAGGUGGUGUUAUGCAAUAAUGCACUUUUCAAAAAGAAAUGAUAUACCAGUCUCAAGAAUACCCGGAAGCUGCAUGAAAAUUCUUGAUUCCUUUUAUAUAUAGUGACAGAAAAAGAUGUAAAUAUAACAAUUGGUUAUUUUUAUUGUAUAAAGUUUUUUCUAUAAGCA